UCCUCCCCCUUUCUUCGUGCUUAACACAUGCAAGUCGAACGGAAAGGCCCUGCUUUUGUGGGGUGCUCGAGUGGCGAACGGGUGAGUAACACGUGAGUAACCUGCCCUUGACUUUGGGAUAACUUCAGGAAACUGGGGCUAAUACCGGAUAGGAGCUCCUGCUGCAUGGUGGGGGUUGGAAAGUUUCGGCGGUUGGGGAUGGACUCGCGGCUUAUCAGCUUGUUGGUGGGGUAGUGGCUUACCAAGGCUUUGACGGGUAGCCGGCCUGAGAGGGUGACCGGCCACAUUGGGACUGAGAUACGGCCCAGACUCCUACGGGAGGCAGCAGUGGGGAAUAUUGCACAAUGGGCGGAAGCCUGAUGCAGCAACGCCGCGUGCGGGAUGACGGCCUUCGGGUUGUAAACCGCUUUCGCCUGUGACGAAGCGUGAGUGACGGUAAUGGGUAAAGAAGCACCGGCUAACUACGUG
Molecule: ribosomal RNA, 468 nt
Filed under: uncultured bacterium
Lineage: Bacteria
Description: partial 16S ribosomal RNA
Rfam family: Bacterial small subunit ribosomal RNA
Source: RNAcentral